UGGAAGUAAAAGUCGUAACAAGGUCUCCGUUGGUG
Molecule: ribosomal RNA, 35 nt
Filed under: Trichoderma guizhouense
Lineage: Eukaryota; Fungi; Ascomycota; Sordariomycetes; Hypocreales; Hypocreaceae
Description: partial 18S ribosomal RNA
Source: RNAcentral